RNAcentral lists this ribosomal RNA (253 nucleotides) under uncultured bacterium. RNAcentral's name for it is "partial 16S ribosomal RNA". It matches the Rfam family "Bacterial small subunit ribosomal RNA", at positions 524 to 776 of the family's 1533-position model. The record is from RNAcentral.
UACGUAGGGGGCUAGCGUUGUCCGGAAUCAUUGGGCGUAAAGAGCGUGUAGGCGGCCCGGUAAGUCCGCUGUGAAAGUCGGGGGCUCAACCCUCGAAUGCCGGUGGAUACUGUCGGGCUAGAGUGCGGAAGAGGCGAGUGGAAUUCCUGGUGUAGCGGUGGAAUGCGCAGAUAUCAGGAGGAACACCGGUGGCGAAGGCGGAUCUCUGGGCCAUUACUGACGCUGAGGAGCGAAAGCGUGGGGAGCGAACAGG